CGCUCCUUGCAAAAAAAUUGAUGAAUAAGGAGUUCUGCCUGCCCAGUGACGUAGUUAAACGGCCGCGGUAUUUUGACCGUGCAAAGGUAGCAUAAUCAUUUGCCUCUUAAAUAGGGGCUGGUAUGAAUGGCAAGACGAAGGUUAAGCUGUCUCUUUCUUAUAAACUUGAAUUUAAUAUUCUUGUGAAGAAGCAGGAAUAAACUCGUAGGACGAGAAGACCCUAUCGAGCUUUAGCAAAGUUAUUAGUAGCUAUUAAUACAAUAAGUCUAAUGAGGUUAGUCAUAACAGGUGAUUUUUAGCUUUUUGUUUGUUGCUGCUUAAUAAAACAGUUUUGAUUGGGGCAAUCGCGGAGUAUAUAAAGCCUCCGCUAAUGAAGUUAAAAAAUUACUAUUUUACAAAAAGUGAUCCGCUGUUUAGCGAGCAAAGGAAUAAGUUACCGUAGGGAUAACAGCGUAAUUUUUUUGGAGAGUUCAUAUUGAUAAAAAAGUUUGCGACCUCGAUGUUGGAUCGAGAUUUCCUAGAGAUGCAGCAGUUUCUAAGGGUUGGUCUGUUCGACCAUUAAAAUCUU
Molecule: ribosomal RNA, 568 nt
Filed under: Coscinasterias tenuispina
Lineage: Eukaryota; Metazoa; Echinodermata; Asteroidea; Forcipulatida; Asteriidae
Description: partial 16S ribosomal RNA
Rfam family: Bacterial large subunit ribosomal RNA
Source: RNAcentral